GUCAGCCGCCGCGGGAACACCGGCGGCCCGAGUGGUGAUCGUGAUUAUUGGGUCUAAAGGGUCCGUAGCCGGUUUGGUCAGUCCUCCGGGAAAUCUGAUAGCUCAACUAUUAGGCUUUCGGGGGAUACUGCCAGACUUGGAACCGGGAGAGGUAAGAGGUACUACAGGGGUAGGAGUGAAAUCUUGUAAUCCCUGUGGGACCACCUGUGGCGAAGGCGUCUUACCAGAACGGGUUCGACGGUGAGGGACGAAAGCUGGGGGCACGAACCGGAUUAGAUACCCGGGUAGUCCCAGCCGUAACGAUGCUCGCUAGGUGUCAGGCAUGGCGCGACCGUGUCUGGUGCCGCAGGGAAGCCGUGAAGCGAGCCACCUGGGAAGUACGGCCGCAAGGCUGAAACUUAAAGGAAUUGGCGGGGGAGCACAACAACGGGUGGAGCCUGCGGUUUAAUUGGACUCAACGCCGGACAACUCACCGGGGGCGACAGCAAUAUGUAGGCCAAGCUGAAGACUUUGCCUGAAUCGCUGAGAAGUGGUGCAUGG
RNAcentral lists this ribosomal RNA (540 nucleotides) under uncultured archaeon. RNAcentral describes it as "bacterial SSU rRNA". It matches the Rfam family "Archaeal small subunit ribosomal RNA", at positions 457 to 997 of the family's 1478-position model. The record is from RNAcentral.